CUUGCUAGUCCAUUCGCACACUGGUGGAUGCUUGGACUCCAACCUUUUCUUACUUAUUUUUCUUUGUUUGUUUUCAGAGACAGGCUCUCUCUGUGUAGCCCUGGCUGUCCUGGAACUGGCUCUGUAGACCAGGUUAGCUUUGAACUCAGAGAUCUGCUAGCUUCUGCCUCCUGAGUGCUGGGUAAGGGACUUGCCACUAAGCCAGAUGACCCUCAUUCAAACUCCAGGGCCCACACAUGAAAGGGGAGAAGCACUUCUCACAAAUUGUCUUCUGACUUCCACACGUAUGCUAUAAUGCACAAUUAUGUACACAUACACACAUGCACACACAAAAUGAAUGAGUGACUGUAUGAAUAUAUAAAUGUAAUGCAGAUUUUAAAAUGCUCCCUGGUUCCGUGUGUGAUCGGCAUUGAGGAACACUGGGCAAGGAGGCCGAGGAAGAAAAUGGAAGAAGUGUGGACACUGGAUCAGGUUCUUUUUUUUUUUUAAGAUUUAUUCAUUUAUUAUAUAUAAGUACACUGCAGCUGUCUUCAGAUACACCAGAAGAGGGCAUCGGAUCUCUUUACAGAUGGUUGUGAGCCACCAUGUGGUUGCUGGGAAUUGAACUCAGGACCUCUGGAAGAGUAGUCGGGUGCUCUUAACCGCUGAGCCAUCUCUCCAGCCCUGGAUCAGGUUCUUUGUGGACCCCUCCCAUUUCCCCUCCAAGGGUGACAGUUUGGCCACUGAAAGUCCUGGAUCAGUGAGCCAAAACCUUUGAGAUGCUGUCCUCUUCUUCCGGGGAUUCUGAUGUGUGUGUGUCCUGUAGGAUCCUGGGUGGACCUAGUGAGCAUGGUCAGCCCUCGGGAGGAAAACAAGUUGCUGAGAGUCUCAGGCUGCUGGAUUUCCACUGCCUCCCUAUAGGGUGAGGGAAGAGAGGUGAAAGGGCAAAGGUGAGCCCCUUCAGAAGGUGGGGAGAGUACUGGGGUCCCCACAGGGCCUGGUCAGGGAAGCUAUGCUCCAUGCCUGUCUUAUUACUCCUGCCUGUGGCUACAGCACAUUUGGUGGCAAUUCUACCCCAAGAUUCACCUGUCGGGUCCCCAGGCUCCCUGGGAGCCAGCUAGCCACGGGUCUAGACAUGGAGAACUUCCAGAUGGGAUGCUAAGGCAUCCAGCCUGCCAGCUGCUAGCAUGGGGACAUGAGAUAAAAGGGCUCUGACAGCCUGUCCUGGGGACCUCCCUCUGAGCCAGCUUUGAGUUUAGCACUGUAGGCUCCAUGUGGGACUAACAGUCUAUGGCCUGCAAGGAAACUCCCGCAGUACACAGAGGAUGGCUGGUGGGCACACGGCAGGAGGAGGCCUGCCCUUGGGCUACAGAGUUGCUGAACUCAGUGACUGCCUUGCUCUCUGUGUGACUUUGAGCAAUCAUUUCUCUCUGGGCUUUGAUAUCUCCAGCUGUAUUAAUAAAGAGUUUGGCCUAGAUUGCUGACUCUGAAACUCAGCUGCAAAUUGAAAUUAUCGGGGGGUGGGGAGCAGGGAAGGCUUUUAAAACUCCCGUUGUCCGUACUUGGAGAAAUGAUGAUUUAACUGGUGUAAAUUGUAGACAGAGUAUCGGGGCUUCAGAAGAUCUUUAAGGGAUUCUGACUUAUGACUGCGUUAGAGACCUGUUGUUCCAGACAACAGCUUCCUAGCAUGGUCACACAGCAGACCUUGAGAAUUUAGAAUACUGCACUAUGAGUAUCAGGCACAGGGAGAGAACUCCAGCUACCCACCUGUCUACCCAAGGACUGGGGAGCUCAGGGUCUUGGACGGGCAAAACAGCUGUGGGGGCCUUUCACCUGGAGGCUUUGCUUGGUUUGAAUUCCUUGUGAGCAUCUCCUGAGUGGCAAAGCCUUUCUGGCUGUUUAUCUACAGCUGCGCGGCAUUCUGCGGCUGUGUUUACUCAGACUCCCGCUGCCUCACCUUGAUGUUGAAGUUGCUUCCUGCUCCGUGCUGUGGUUUCCCACCGUCCACCAGAGCCUUCGAGAAAGUCUGCAAUACAGAUGUGGGUGGAAAAGCAGAUCGCUGCGGGGUAGAGGGCUUCUGAGAGGAAAGGCUUGGCAGAACCCCCGGCUUCGUCCUUGAAGAUGCGGGAGGGCUCUCUACCGUGCGUACAGCGCGUAGGUGGUCAAGUCGUUCCAGUUCCGAAGACAGACCCGGAACCUGAGAUGUCCGGGUUAUUCAAAUAAUGGUAACAUAUUGUACACACUUGGAUGUUCGGAUCAAUGUGUUAGCACGGACAGAAUCCCAAGGUCGCAGAAUGUCGCAGCAGGGAGGGAUUUUAUAAUCUGUUAACCUACUUAACCAAUCACACGCCUUUGUGGGUUCCUCUUUAAAUUUUUUUCUUUUAUUAUAUUUUAACUU
Rattus norvegicus (Norway rat) is the source of this 2377-nucleotide non-coding RNA. NCBI's taxonomy places the organism in Eukaryota, Metazoa, Chordata, Mammalia, Rodentia, Muridae. The record is from RefSeq and is a predicted model, not a curated record.